RNAcentral lists this ribosomal RNA (472 nucleotides) under uncultured bacterium. RNAcentral's name for it is "partial 16S ribosomal RNA". It matches the Rfam family "Bacterial small subunit ribosomal RNA", at positions 28 to 507 of the family's 1533-position model. The record is from RNAcentral.
GACGAACGCUGGCGGCGUGCCUAAUACAUGCAAGUCGAGCGGAAAGGCCCUUCGGGUGACCCUCGCGGCGAAACGGUGGAUAACACAUUAACAAUUUGACCUUGGCCUUGUGAGAACUACCGGAAAUGGUGGCUAAUACCCUAAUCCCCAACCGUCUACAUGGGCUGGUUGUUGAAAGGUUUUUCGGGCUUGGAUGUGCUCGCGUCCCAUCAGCCGGUUGGCGGGGUAAUGGUCUUCCAAGGCCUCGAUGGGUAGCCGGCGUGAGGGGGUGACCGGGCAGACUGGGACUGAGACACGGCACAGACUCCUACGGGAGGCAGCAGUGGGGAAUAUUGGACAAUGGGCGGAAGCCUGAUCCAGCAACGCCGCGUGAGGGAUGACGGCCUUAGGGUUGUAAACAUCUUUCAGUACCGACGAAGCGCCGAUGAUGGUGGUGACGGUAGGUACAGAAGAAGCACCGGCCAACUACGUG